Molecule: ribosomal RNA, 253 nt
Filed under: uncultured bacterium
Lineage: Bacteria
Description: partial 16S ribosomal RNA
Rfam family: Bacterial small subunit ribosomal RNA
Source: RNAcentral
UACGUAGGGGGCAAGCGUUGUCCGGAAUCAUUGGGCGUAAAGAGCGUGUAGGCGGCCCGGUAAGUCCGCUGUGAAAGUCGGGGGCUCAACCCUCGAAUGCCGGUGGAUACUGUCGGGCUAGAGUGCGGAAGAGGCGAGUGGAAUUCCUGGUGUAGCGGUGAAAUGCGCAGAUAUCGGGAAGAACACCCGUGGCGAAGGCGGCUCUCUGGGACGGUACUGACGCUGAGACGCGAAAGCGUGGGGAGCGAACAGG